CCAGGCACAGUUUGUGCUCCCUCGGGAUCCCCCUUCUUCCCACUUCUGUGCAUUCCUCUCUCAGCUCUGCUCUGUGAGUCUUCCUUUCUAAUGGCCUGCAGCUGUAACUGGAAGACUGCCCUAAAGAUACUGGAGCAGUUCUCUCUUGCAUGCUCAGAUUGCUAGAAGUACCUAGGAAUUUAUAUUCCUCCAGGGUUAGAAGGUGGGAGGAGAAUGGAACUCUCAAGAAAGUCACCCCAAGAUCUUUGGAUAUUUUUCUGAAAAAAAAAAUCAAUUCAUAAGCUUACAGUAAACCAAACCUGUAUUUCUUAUCUGAAACA
Molecule: long non-coding RNA, 320 nt
Organism: Sapajus apella (tufted capuchin)
Lineage: Eukaryota; Metazoa; Chordata; Mammalia; Primates; Cebidae
Exons: 2
Source: RefSeq, a predicted model, not a curated record